RNAcentral lists this ribosomal RNA (253 nucleotides) under uncultured bacterium. Its description in RNAcentral is "partial 16S ribosomal RNA". It matches the Rfam family "Bacterial small subunit ribosomal RNA", at positions 524 to 776 of the family's 1533-position model. The record is from RNAcentral.
UACAGAGGUCUCAAGCGUUGUUCGGAUUCAUUGGGCGUAAAGGGCGCGUAGGCGGAUCUUUAAGUCGGGGGUGAAAGCCUGAGGCUCAACCUCAGAAUUGCCUUCGAUACUGGAGAUCUUGAGACCGGAAGAGGUAAGUGGAACUGCGAGUGUAGAGGUGAAAUUCGUAGAUAUUCGCAAGAACACCAGUGGCGAAGGCGGCUUACUGGUCCGGUUCUGACGCUGAGGCGCGAAAGCGUGGGGAGCAAACAGG